RNAcentral lists this ribosomal RNA (250 nucleotides) under uncultured bacterium. Its description in RNAcentral is "partial 16S ribosomal RNA". It matches the Rfam family "Bacterial small subunit ribosomal RNA", at positions 796 to 1041 of the family's 1533-position model. The record is from RNAcentral. RNAcentral also lists the same sequence under 1 other name.
CACGCCGUAAACGAUGAUAACUAGCUGUCCGGGCACUUGGUGCUUGGGUGGCGCAGCUAACGCAUUAAGUUAUCCGCCUGGGGAGUACGGUCGCAAGAUUAAAACUCAAAGGAAUUGACGGGGGCCUGCACAAGCGGUGGAGCAUGUGGUUUAAUUCGAAGCAACGCGCAGAACCUUACCAGCGUUUGACAUCCUCAUCGCGAUUUCCAGAGAUGGAUUUCUUCAGUUCGGCUGGAUGAGUGACAGGUGC